AAAUUACCAGUCCCCAAGGCUUUACCACCAACCUCCACUCCACUGAAACCACCAGUUCCCAAAACUACCCCUCCAAAAAUUGCUCCUGUGAAGCCACCUGUUCCCAAAACUUUACCUCCAAAAAUUGCUCCUGUGAAGCCACCUGUUCCCAAAACUUUACCUCCAAAAAUUGCUCCUGUGAAGCCACCUGUCCCCAAGGUUACACCAGCAUUAAGUCCAAAACCCCCAUCCCCCAAAAUCCCACCACCACAACCACCCAAAAACGCUCCUAUUCCACCCC
RNAcentral lists this long non-coding RNA (280 nucleotides) under Glycine max (soybean). Its description in RNAcentral is "long non-coding RNA (GMAX_LNC001620)". Lineage: Eukaryota; Viridiplantae; Streptophyta; Magnoliopsida; Fabales; Fabaceae. The record is from RNAcentral.